This 82-nucleotide transfer RNA is filed under the name Erinaceus europaeus (western European hedgehog). It matches the Rfam family "tRNA". From Rfam's summary of the family: Transfer RNA (tRNA) molecules are approximately 80 nucleotides in length. Lineage: Eukaryota; Metazoa; Chordata; Mammalia; Eulipotyphla; Erinaceidae. The record is from Rfam by way of RNAcentral.
GGAGAGAUAGCAUAAUGUUUUUGCAAAAAGACUCUCAUGCCUGAGCCACCAAAGGUCCUAGGUUCAAUUCCUAGUAUCACCA